UCCUAGCCCUAAACGAUGCUCACUAGGUGUUAGAGGUAUCGACCCCUCUGGUGCCGCAGUUAACGCGUUAAGUGAGCCGCCUGGGGAUUACGACCGCAAGGUUAAAACUCAAAUGAAUUGACGGGGGCCCGCACAAGCGGUGGAGCAUGUGGUUUAAUUCGAUGCUACGCGAACAACCUUACCUGGGUUUGACAUGCUAGUAGUAGAAGCCCGAAAGGGUAACGAUGUACCUUUGGUGCAAGCUAGCACAGGUGCUGCAUGGCUGUCGUCAGUUCGUGUCGUGAGAUGUUGGGUUAAGUC
RNAcentral lists this ribosomal RNA (300 nucleotides) under uncultured bacterium. RNAcentral's name for it is "bacterial SSU rRNA". It matches the Rfam family "Bacterial small subunit ribosomal RNA", at positions 794 to 1086 of the family's 1533-position model. The record is from RNAcentral.